This is a non-coding RNA of Suillus luteus UH-Slu-Lm8-n1, 83 nucleotides long. NCBI's taxonomy places the organism in Eukaryota, Fungi, Basidiomycota, Agaricomycetes, Boletales, Suillaceae. The record is from the annotation of a GenBank genome assembly.
UCUCUGGUAGUAUAUCGGAUAGUACACCCGCCUGUCACACUUGCUGUGCGCGGGAAAGCGGGGUUCGAUUCCCCGCCAGAGAG